CACGACUCUUUUUUUUUCCCUUUCUCCGACCCUCCUCUACCGUCUCCGACAAAAACGCCUCUCUUGCCCACUCUCGUUUUUCCCCGCCCUUCUCGUCCUCUUAUUUUCUCUCCUUCUCCGCCGCCUCUAACGACGACGUAUCUUCGCCGACGCCGAUACUAUGGAGGUCACGCGACACUGCAACCUUGGAGCGAGAGGUCCUUAGUAGCGUCGUCGCCAGCGCCGGCGACGUGACCGUUAGCAGAGACGGGUGAAAAAAAAAAUUAAAGAAGGAAGAAGAAAAAAAUAAAGAUAAAGAAUUAUAAAAAAAGAAAGAUGAAGAUGAAAUUGUAUCGUUAAAAUAAAAUUACAUUAUUUUAAAGAACGUUGCACUAUUAUGGAUAUAAGUUGCACUACUUAAGAUGUAAACUGCACUAUUUAAGAUGAAAAUUACACUAUUUAAACGAAAAUUAUACUCUUUGGGAGAUAUUUACACUGUUUCUCCUCUUAUUACACUCUUUGAGAUGUAAACUAUAUCUUUUAAGAUGAAAGUUACAUUCUUUAAAGAAAAUUUACACUUUUUGAGAGAUAUUUAUACCAUUUCUUCUCUUGUUGUACUCUGUGAGCUGUAAACUACAGAUUUUAAGAGAUAUUACACUAUUUCUCCUCUUGUUGCACUGCUUCUUCUUUUGUUGCACUAUUUCUACUCUUAAAGAGUGCAACAAAGGAAGAAAUAGUGUAACAAGAGAAGAAACAAUGCAACAAAGGGAGAAACAGUGUAACUAUCUCUUAAUGGUGCUGUUUACAUCUCAAACAGUGCAACAAAGAAAAAAACAGUGUAAAUAUUUCUCAAAAAGUGCAACUUUUGUUUUAAAAGUGUAACUUUUAUCUUAAAGGAUAUAGUUUACAUAUCAAAGAGUGUAAUAAGAGAAGAUACAAUGUAAAUAUAUUCCAAAGAGUGUAAUUUUUAUUUAAAAAAUAUAAUUUUUAUUUUAAAGGGUACAGUUUACAUCUUAAAUAGUGCAACUUAUAUCCAUAAUAGUGCAAAGUUCUUUUAAAAUAGUGCAAUUUUAUUUUAACAGCGCAAUUUCAUCUUCAUCUUUCUUUUUUAUUUUUGGUCAUUAUUUUUUUCUUUUUCUUUUUCUUUCUACUACAAUUUUAUUUUUGUCA
RNAcentral lists this long non-coding RNA (1149 nucleotides) under Ananas comosus (pineapple). Its description in RNAcentral is "long non-coding RNA (ACOM_LNC027063)". Lineage: Eukaryota; Viridiplantae; Streptophyta; Magnoliopsida; Poales; Bromeliaceae. The record is from RNAcentral.